Pelmatolapia mariae (spotted tilapia) is the source of this 1477-nucleotide long non-coding RNA. RefSeq lists it as uncharacterized. Lineage: Eukaryota; Metazoa; Chordata; Actinopteri; Cichliformes; Cichlidae. The transcript has 3 exons. The record is from RefSeq and is a predicted model, not a curated record.
UUUAUGUCGUCUCUCUACAAUCACAGUAGCGCUCUUUGGAUGUCCAUUUAUAAAUAUUUAACUCAAAUCUUCACAUUUUAAAGGAAGUCAGCUCAAGUUGGAAAAGAAGGAGACAGUAGACCUGCUGACCAUCUCAACAAGGCUUUGAUAUCACUCUGAGAAGAAGCCGGACAAACUUUGAACAAAGAUCAGACUGAGGAGUGGAUUCAAGACACUGCCUUUUAAAACUUGCUCAGAGAUGUCAGAGUCAUCCCAGAAGCAUCUAAACAACCUCGAAGUCAAUCUUCCACUGACUACUGUAACAGGAACAGGUCUUCAACAACCUGAGGAAACCUGCAGUCAAGUAAUCUGUGAGGACUCUACUGCGUCCUGCUGCAAUGACAAGUACCACAGGAAACUGGCCGUCUCUAGCAUCAUCUGCGGGUUUGCCUGCUGCGGAGUCCCAGCUUUGAUUUAUUCUGUCAAGGCUGAGGAUGCUGACAAAGCUGAGAAGGCCGAGCCGACGACAGACAAGAGAGCUCCAAAGUAUUUAAGACAGGCCAAAAAAUGGGGCAUCAUCUCCAUCGUGACGUGGGUUUCCGUUCUAGUGUCAGCUCCAUUGCUGCUGGCACUGGGCUCAUAUCUCGCCACUUUGAUUGACUGAUCAACCUCAAAGGAGAACAGCCAGAGGAGUGUCUUUGCUGAUGUUUAUGGAGACGGACAGUGGAGAGCAGGAAGCUGCUGAAUCAAUAGCUACGAACACCAAAGCUGUGGAGAAACUACAGGUUACAUUAAAUGGAAAAAGGCUGUGUUGGUUUUUCUUACGCUGAAAUGAAUGCUUUCCUAAUUUAUACUUUUCUAGUGCCUUUAGUUUUUACACAAAGAACAAACAUCAUUGAAAAUAGUAUUAAAUGUCUAACAACUGUUUUUGUUAUAUGCUGUGAUAUUUAUUGAACCAUCUGUUGACCCGUGGACUAUGCGAACGUACAUGGAUAUAUUAUAGAUUGAAGACUAAAGCUGUUAAUCUUGAAUAUAAAGCUAUUUAAAUGUAAAGCUGCUCCCGUAAUGACUCAAUCCUUAAUACUUUUACAGUUACACUUUAACUUCCUUACUGUAGAUGACUACAGAUGCUACAUAAGUUAAUCAGUCAAUCAACAAGUCACUUUAAAGUGGAGCAACGUGUGACUUUAGGAUUGAGUCUCUACCGGAGAUGAAAUGCGAGGCAGUGAUCGUGGCAGUGCUUCAUCAGGACAUUAUGAGGUCCUGUUCUUGCUAUUUUAUUUUAUUAAUAUCAAAUGUAUAUAUAUGCUGCACUUUUAUACAAACAUUAACAAACAAUUUUAUAAUAAAAUGAGGAAACUUUUAUGGUCUUCAUCCACUUGAAACAUUUUAACAUGCUCAUUAAAAAACCCAAUGUCACGUUGCCAUGGCAUUAUUGCAUUGUUACAAUAUUUACUUCAUUAAUGUCAAAUGUAUAUAUAUACAUGUUGUACUUUUA